GGUCGACUGGUGUAGUGGUUAUCACACCCGCCUUACACUAAUACUAAGCAGCAACGCAUUAGCGCCGUUUGCGAUGGUAUAUAUGUGAGCGCGGUAGGUCGCAGGUUCGAUCCCUGCGUCGAUCA
Hypoxylon trugodes is the source of this 125-nucleotide non-coding RNA. Lineage: Eukaryota; Fungi; Ascomycota; Sordariomycetes; Xylariales; Hypoxylaceae. The record is from the annotation of a RefSeq genome assembly.